RNAcentral lists this ribosomal RNA (600 nucleotides) under uncultured bacterium. Its description in RNAcentral is "bacterial SSU rRNA". It matches the Rfam family "Bacterial small subunit ribosomal RNA", at positions 38 to 629 of the family's 1533-position model. The record is from RNAcentral.
GGCUUCAGGCCUAACACAUGCAAGUCGAACGGUAACAGGGAAGAGCUUGCUUUUCCGCUGACGAGUGGCGCACGGGUGCGUAACGCGUAUGCAAUCUACCUUGUACAGGGGGAUAGCCUUUAGAAAUGAAGAUUAAUACCCCAUGGUAUCUAGGGUUCGCAUGAACACUAGAUUAAAAUUUCGGUGGUACAAGAUGAGCAUGCGUCCUAUUAGCUAGUAGGUAUGGUAACGGCAUACCUAGGCGACGAUAGGUAGGGGCCCUGAGAGGGGGAUCCCCCACACUGGUACUGAGACACGGACCAGACUCCUACGGGAGGCAGCAGUGAGGAAUAUUGGACAAUGGGCGGAAGCCUGAUCCAGCCAUGCCGCGUGCAGGAAGACUGCCCUAUGGGUUGUAAACUGCUUUUGUACGGGAAGAAACCCGCCUACGUGUAGGCGGCUGACGGUACCGUAAGAAUAAGCAUCGGCUAACUCCGUGCCAGCAGCCGCGGUAAUACGGAGGAUGCAAGCGUUAUCCGGAAUCAUUGGGUUUAAAGGGUCCGUAGGUGGAUUGGUAAGUCAGAGGUGAAAGCCUGCAGCUCAACUGUAGAACUGCCUUUG